This 424-nucleotide ribosomal RNA is filed under the name uncultured Chryseobacterium sp. Its description in RNAcentral is "bacterial SSU rRNA". It matches the Rfam family "Bacterial small subunit ribosomal RNA", at positions 355 to 776 of the family's 1533-position model. Lineage: Bacteria; Pseudomonadati; Bacteroidota; Flavobacteriia; Flavobacteriales; Weeksellaceae. The record is from RNAcentral.
UGAGGAAUAUUGGACAAUGGGUGCAAGCCUGAUCCAGCCAUCCCGCGUGAAGGAUUAAGGUCCUAUGGAUUGUAAACUUCUUUUAUACAGGGAUAAACCUACUUACGUGUAAGUAGCUGAAGGUACUGUAUGAAUAAGCACCGGCUAACUCCGUGCCAGCAGCCGCGGUAAUACGGAGGGUGCAAGCGUUAUCCGGAUUUAUUGGGUUUAAAGGGUCCGUAGGCGGGCCUAUAAGUCAGUGGUGAAAUCUCACAGCUUAACUGUGAAACUGCCGUUGAUACUGUAGGUCUUGAGUAAAUUUGAAGUGGCUGGAAUAAGUAGUGUAGCGGUGAAAUGCAUAGAUAUUACUUAGAACACCAAUUGCGAAGGCAGGUCACUAAGAUUUAACUGACGCUGAGGGACGAAAGCGUGGGGAGCGAACAGG